UGCGUAGGCGGACUAAUAAGUCAGUGGUGAAAUCUUUCGGCUCAACCGAGAAACUGCCAUUGAUACUGUUAGUCUUGAGUUCGGUUGAGGUAGGCGGAAUGUGUAAUGUAGCGGUGAAAUGCUUAGAUGUUACACAGAACACCAAUUGCGUAGGCAGCUUACUAGACCGACACUGACGCUGAGGCACGAAAGCGUGGGGAGCGAACAGGAUUAGAUACCCUGGUAGUCC
Molecule: ribosomal RNA, 229 nt
Filed under: uncultured bacterium
Lineage: Bacteria
Description: partial 16S ribosomal RNA
Rfam family: Bacterial small subunit ribosomal RNA
Source: RNAcentral